AGGAGGCAGCAGUGGGGAAUAUUGGACAAUGGGGGAAACCCUGAUCCAGCGACGCCGCGUGGGUGAAGAAGGCCUGCGGGUUGUAAAGCCCUUUCGGUAGGGACGAAAACUCUUGCUCUAACAGGGCAGGAGCUUGACUUAACCUACAUAAGAAGCACCGGCUAACUCUGUGCCAGCAGCCGCGGUAAUACAGAGGGUGCGAGCGUUAAUCGGAAUUACUGGGCGUAAAGCGCACGUAGGCGGCUUUGUAAGUCGGAUGUGAAAUCCCCGGGCUCAACCUGGGAACUGCACCCGAAACUACAUUGCUAGAGUAUGGGAGAGGGAGGCGGAAUUUCCGGUGUAGCAGUGAAAUGCGUAGAUAUCGGAAGGAACAUCAGUGGCGAAGGCGGCCUCCUGGACCAAUACUGACGCUCAGGUGCGAAAGCGUGGGGAGCAAACAGGAUUAGAUACCCUGGUAGC
RNAcentral lists this ribosomal RNA (459 nucleotides) under uncultured bacterium. RNAcentral describes it as "bacterial SSU rRNA". It matches the Rfam family "Bacterial small subunit ribosomal RNA", at positions 343 to 794 of the family's 1533-position model. The record is from RNAcentral.